GCCAGUUUAGCUCAGUUGGUAGAGCAUCUGAUUUGUAAUCAGAGGGUCGUUGGUUCAAAUCCGACAACUGGCACCA
Molecule: transfer RNA, 76 nt
Filed under: Rickettsiales bacterium
Lineage: Bacteria; Pseudomonadati; Pseudomonadota; Alphaproteobacteria; Rickettsiales
Description: tRNA-Thr
Rfam family: tRNA
About the family: Transfer RNA (tRNA) molecules are approximately 80 nucleotides in length. Their secondary structure includes four short double-helical elements and three loops (D, anti-codon, and T loops). Further hydrogen bonds mediate the characteristic L-shaped molecular structure. tRNAs have two regions of fundamental functional importance: the anti-codon, which is responsible for specific mRNA codon recognition, and the 3' end, to which the tRNAs corresponding amino acid is attached (by aminoacyl-tRNA synthetases). tRNAs cope with the degeneracy of the genetic code in two manners: having more than one tRNA (with a specific anti-codon) for a particular amino acid; and 'wobble' base-pairing, i.e. permitting non-standard base-pairing at the 3rd anti-codon position.
Source: RNAcentral